CUCGCUGCUGCUGCUGCUACCGCCGCUGCACCGGCUGCGCCAUCCGGGACUCAGACUCCUGCGCCAGCAGUCAGGGGGCCCUGACUCUAGCUUCAGAGACCCUGUUCCAGCGCUUGCGAGCAUGUCGUCAGAAAAGUCAGGCCUUCCAGACUCGGUUCCCCACACUUCACCUCCGCCCUACAAUGCCCCCCAACCUCCAGCCGAGCCCCCCAUCCCUCCCCCACAAACCGCUCCAUCCUCUCAUCAUCAUCACCACCACCACUACCACCAGUCUGGCACUGCCACCCUCCCGCGCUUAGGAGCAGGUGGCCUGGCCUCUGCUGCGGCUGGCGCUCAACGUGGUCCUUCGUCCUCUGCCACGCUACCGCGGCCCCCCCACCAUGCCCCUCCCGGUCCCGCUGCUGGGGCUCCCCCACCCGGCUGUGCUACCCUACCCCGCAUGCCACCCGACCCUUAUCUGCAGGAGACUCGCUUCGAGGGUCCACUUCCCCCACCACCGCCUGCGGCCGCCGCCCCACCCCCACCAGCGCCUGCCCCGACGGCCCAAGCCCCAGGCUUCGUGGUGCCCACGCACGCGGGGGCGGUGGGCACGUUGCCGCUGGGGGGCUACGUGGCUCCGGGCUACCCGCUGCAGCUGCAGCCGUGCACCGCUUAUGUCCCGGUGUAUCCGGUGGGCACGGUGAGUAUGGGGCUGACAGGACCUAGGAGGACAGGGAGGCAGGUGCAACAGGGACGCACACACUCUGGAAGCUGGGAGAGAGUGAAACAGAACCAGGCUGUCCGCCCUUCUGGUAACAAACCCUGGACAGAAGAGUGGAGAGAGGAGAGACAAUGGGUGGGAAAGUGGUGGACCUUGGGGGGAAGCGGGGAGGAGUCUGGGGGAUCAAAGGUCAAGGUUUGGGCCGUGGUUCAGAAAUCAGUUGGUCUGAAAGAAGGAAAACAGCUUGGAGGGAGAGAGAGAGAUGGAACCUGGGAAGCCAGGGGUAAAAGAGGGCAGAAGCCUGGGCCUGGAGAUGCUAAGGAAGAUGGAAACAAGACCGGAAGGACAGACAGACCCAUAAGCCAUACCUUGUAGGACACUGUGGGAACUUCCCCGAAUAUUCAAGUUAAUGAUACGUGAAGAGAGGCCUAGGCCGAUUUUACUGUCAGGAACGAUUUUUUUUUCCCCUUAAGCAAAAUCGUGUUUUUAAAAACCUCUUUGCCAAUUGGCCAGCUGCUGGCAAGCAGCAAGACUGUUGGUGUGACGUCCCUUUCCCCCACUGUCCUUCCCACAGCCCUACGCAAGCGGGACCCCCGGGGGUCCAGGAGUGACCUCCACUCUGCCCCCGCCGCCCCAGGGCCCAGGGUUGGCUCUGUUGGAGCCCAGGCGCCCGCCGCAUGACUACAUGCCCAUCGCUGUGCUGACCACCAUCUGCUGCUUCUGGCCCACAGGCAUCAUCGCCAUCUUCAAGGCCGUGCAGGUGCGCACGGCCUUGGCCCGCGGAGACUUGGUGUCCGCCGAGAUCGCUUCGCGCGAGGCCCGGAAUUUCUCCUUCAUCUCCCUGGCCGUGGGCAUCGCAGCUAUGGUGCUUUGUACCAUCCUCACUGUAGUCAUCAUCAUUGCCGCCCAGCACCACGAAAACUACUGGGAUCCCUAAAAACGUCCCCGUCUCGGCCCCGCUCCGUGCCCCCUCCCAACCUCCCAGGCGCGUGGCGCAGUCCUGCCGCCUACCCAGAGCGCGCCCUGCACAUCCUCCUGAGGCGCCGCUGGACUUCCAGACAUCAUAAACUCCGCCCCCACGGAACCUCUGGCCCAGAGAGUACGCUCAGUUCCUCAGGAACCCCUCUAGCACCCACAUCCUCAGCGGCACUGGAAUCCGCGCCAAACCCCGACCCUCCAGUCGCCCCAAUUCCCCACCCCAUCAAAGUGCAGUGCCAGCCAGGGGCGGAUCUCUCCUGCUCUCCGCUCCCCAGUAGGGAGUCAGGUCCCAGAAGCUCCGCCUCAUCUAUAAGCUCCGCCCCAAAUCCCACAAACCCCGCCUCCAGGUCGGCAGGCUCCGCCUUCUUUUCUUCUUUGGGGUUUUUCAGUCUGGUGAUUGGGUCUGUGAAUCCAGGCCCCCAGCCCACAAUACAGACGGACUAGUCCCCCUACCUCCCUAAAAGGACUCAGCCCUGGGAGAACUACACCCCCACUCUAGCUCGGAUUUUUGCCAGUGCGGAUUUUUCUCCCCGCCCCCAACCCCCAUCUCUGCCUAUUUUCUUGCUAAUUACAGAACUUCCCAUUUUGCGGCUUUUGGAGUGAGAUGAGGCAAGUUCCAGGUUUAGUACCCCUCACUCUGGAAAGAGAACCAAGUCCCUAUAAUGUAAAUACCCUUUCUACAUGUGCCAACCCCUGGGCAGCGGGGGCAGAAGAGAAUCCAGGGUUAAAGGGAGGGAGUCGACGCUCCCCCGCUCCCCUCUGCCCUAGACUUGUUUUGAUCUGUGUGUGCCAGUGUGUGUGAACUUCUGAAAGACAGUAUUAAAGACAUUUUAGUGGAUUUAUCACCCGCAGUUCCAAAGACCACA
RNAcentral lists this long non-coding RNA (2544 nucleotides) under Rattus norvegicus (Norway rat). RNAcentral's name for it is "long non-coding RNA NONRATT017094". Lineage: Eukaryota; Metazoa; Chordata; Mammalia; Rodentia; Muridae. The record is from RNAcentral.